AUUGAACGCUGGCGGCAUGCUUUACACAUGCAAGUCGAACGGCAGCACGGGGGCAACCCUGGUGGCGAGUGGCGAACGGGUGAGUAAUACAUCGGAACGUGCCCGCUCGUGGGGGAUAACGUAGCGAAAGUUACGCUAAUACCGCAUCCGAUCUGAGGAUGAAAGCGGGGGACCUUCCGGCCUCGCGCGAUCGGAGCGGCCGGUGUCAGCUUAGGUAGUUGGUGGGGUAAAGGCCUACCAAGCGGACGAUCUGUAGCUGGUCUGAGAGGACGACCAGCCACACUGGGACUGAGACACGGCCCAGACUCCUACGGGAGGCAGCAGUGGGGAAUUUUGGACAAUGGGCGCAAGCCUGAUCCAGCCAUGCCGCGUGCAGGACGAAGGCCUUCGGGUUGUAAACUGCUUUUGUAUGGGACGAAAAGGCUCUGGCUAAUGCCUGGGGCUCAUGACGGUACCGGAAGAAUAAGCACCGGCUAACUACGUG
RNAcentral lists this ribosomal RNA (484 nucleotides) under uncultured bacterium. RNAcentral describes it as "partial 16S ribosomal RNA". It matches the Rfam family "Bacterial small subunit ribosomal RNA", at positions 29 to 507 of the family's 1533-position model. The record is from RNAcentral.